AAAUUGAAGAGUUUGAUCAUGGCUCAGAUUGAACGCUGGCGGCAGGCCUAACACAUGCAAGUCGAACGGUAACAGGAAGCAGCUUGCUGCUUUGCUGACGAGUGGCGGACGGGUGAGUAAUGUCUGGGAAACUGCCUGAUGGAGGGGGAUAACUACUGGAAACGGUGGCUAAUACCGCAUAACGUCGCAAGACCAAAGAGGGGGGACCUUCGGGCCUCUUGCCAUCAGAUGUGCCCAGAUGGGAUUAGCU
RNAcentral lists this ribosomal RNA (250 nucleotides) under Salmonella enterica subsp. enterica serovar Infantis. RNAcentral describes it as "partial 16S ribosomal RNA". It matches the Rfam family "Bacterial small subunit ribosomal RNA", at positions 1 to 246 of the family's 1533-position model. RNAcentral also lists the same sequence under 3 other names. Lineage: Bacteria; Pseudomonadati; Pseudomonadota; Gammaproteobacteria; Enterobacterales; Enterobacteriaceae. The record is from RNAcentral.